RNAcentral lists this ribosomal RNA (497 nucleotides) under uncultured bacterium. RNAcentral's name for it is "partial 16S ribosomal RNA". It matches the Rfam family "Bacterial small subunit ribosomal RNA", at positions 28 to 507 of the family's 1533-position model. The record is from RNAcentral.
GACGAACGCUGGCGGCGUGCCUAAUACAUGCAAGUUGAGCGAUGAAGAUUGGUGCUUGCACCAAUUUGAAGAGCAGCGAACGGGUGAGUAACGCGUGGGGAAUCUGCCUUUGAGCGGGGGACAACAUUUGGAAACGAAUGCUAAUACCGCAUAACAACUUUAAACAUAAGUUUUAAGUUUGAAAGAUGCAAUUGCAUCACUCAAAGAUGAUCCCGCGUUGUAUUAGCUAGUUGGUGAGGUAAAGGCUCACCAAGGCGAUGAUACAUAGCCGACCUGAGAGGGUGAUCGGCCACAUUGGGACUGAGACACGGCCCAAACUCCUACGGGAGGCAGCAGUAGGGAAUCUUCGGCAAUGGACGAAAGUCUGGCCGAGCAACGCCGCGUGAGUGAAGAAGGGUGUCGGAUCGUAAAACUCGGUUGGUAGAGAAGAACGUUGGUGAGAGUGGAAAGCUCAUCAAGUGACGGUAACUACCCAGAAAGGGACGGCUAACUACGUG